Molecule: ribosomal RNA, 253 nt
Filed under: uncultured bacterium
Lineage: Bacteria
Description: partial 16S ribosomal RNA
Rfam family: Bacterial small subunit ribosomal RNA
Source: RNAcentral
UACGAAGGGGGCUAGCGUUGUUCGGAAUUACUGGGCGUAAAGCGCGCGCAGGCGGUCCUUUAAGUCGGGGGUGAAAGCCCAGAGCUCAACUCUGGAACUGCCUUCGAAACUAGAGGACUUGGGUACGGGAGAGGUGAGUGGAAUUCCGAGUGUAGAGGUGAAAUUCGUAGAUAUUCGGAAGAACACCAGUGGCGAAGGCGGCUCACUGGUCCGGUACUGACGCUGAGGUGCGAAAGCGUGGGGAGCAAACAGG